AGAUUGAACGCUGGCGGCAUGCCUAACACAUGCAAGUCGAACGGUAACAGGUCUUCGGAUGCUGACGAGUGGCGGACGGGUGAGUAAUGCGUAGGAAUCUGUCUUUUAGUGGGGGACAACCCAGGGAAACUUGGGCUAAUACCGCAUGAGCCCUGAGGGGGAAAGCGGGGGAUCUUCGGACCUCGCGCUAAGAGAGGAGCCUACGUCCGAUUAGCUAGUUGGCGGGGUAAAGGCCCACCAAGGCGACGAUCAGUAGCUGGUCUGAGAGGACGACCAGCCACACUGGGACUGAGACACGGCCCAGACUCCUACGGGAGGCAGCAGUGGGGAAUUUUUCGCAAUGGGGGCAACCCUGACGAAGCAAUGCCGCGUGGAUGAAGAAGGCCUUCGGGUUGUAAGGUCCUUUCGUGGGGGACGAAAAGGUGGUUCCUAAUACGAGCUACUGUUGACGUGAACCCAAGAAGAAGCACCGGCUAACUCCGUGCCAGCAGCCGCGGUAAUACGGGGGGUGCAAGCGU
RNAcentral lists this ribosomal RNA (518 nucleotides) under uncultured Acidithiobacillus ferrooxidans. Its description in RNAcentral is "bacterial SSU rRNA". It matches the Rfam family "Bacterial small subunit ribosomal RNA", at positions 26 to 541 of the family's 1533-position model. The record is from RNAcentral. Lineage: Bacteria; Pseudomonadati; Pseudomonadota; Acidithiobacillia; Acidithiobacillales; Acidithiobacillaceae.